GGGGAAUAUUGGACAAUGGGCGCAAGCCUGAUCCAGCCAUGCCGCGUGAGUGAUGAAGGCCCUAGGGUUGUAAAGCUCUUUCAACGGUGAAGAUAAUGACGGUAACCGUAGAAGAAGCCCCGGCUAACUUCGUGCCAGCAGCCGCGGUAAUACGCAGGGGGCUAGCGUUGUUCGGAAUUACUGGGCGUAAAGCGCACGUAGGCGGAUCGGUCAGUUAGGGGUGAAAUCCCAGGGUGCAACCCUGGAACUGCCUUUAAUACUGCCGAUCUGGAGUCCGGAAGAGGUGAGUGGAAUUCCGAGUGUAGAGGUGAAAUUCGUAGAUAUUCGGAGGAACACCAGUGCCGAAGGCGGCUCACUGGUCCGGUACUGACGCUGAGGUGCGAAAGCGUGGGGA
This 394-nucleotide ribosomal RNA is filed under the name uncultured bacterium. RNAcentral's name for it is "bacterial SSU rRNA". It matches the Rfam family "Bacterial small subunit ribosomal RNA", at positions 356 to 767 of the family's 1533-position model. The record is from RNAcentral.